RNAcentral lists this ribosomal RNA (253 nucleotides) under uncultured bacterium. Its description in RNAcentral is "partial 16S ribosomal RNA". It matches the Rfam family "Bacterial small subunit ribosomal RNA", at positions 524 to 776 of the family's 1533-position model. The record is from RNAcentral.
UACGUAGGGUGCAAGCGUUGUCCGGAAUUAUUGGGCGUAAAGAGCUCGUAGGCGGUCUGUUACGUCGGCUGUGAAAACCUGGGGCUCAACUCCGGGCCUGCAGCCGAUACGGGCAGACUAGAGUUCGGCAGGGGAGACUGGAAUUCCUGGUGUAGCGGUGAAAUGCGCAGAUAUCAGGAGGAACACCGGUGGCGAAGGCGGGUCUCUGGGCCGAAACUGACGCUGAGGAGCGAAAGUGUGGGGAGCGAACAGG